This 408-nucleotide ribosomal RNA is filed under the name uncultured bacterium. Its description in RNAcentral is "partial 16S ribosomal RNA". It matches the Rfam family "Bacterial small subunit ribosomal RNA", at positions 29 to 526 of the family's 1533-position model. The record is from RNAcentral.
AGUGAACGCUGGCGGCGUGCCUAAUACAUGCAAGUCGAACGAAGUGGCGCACGGGUGAGUAAUAUAUAGUUAAUCUGCCCUACACCGAGGAACAACAGUUGGAAACGGCUGCUAAUACCUCAUAGUGUAGGAUGAGACUAUCUCGUAUCAGCUAGUUGUUAAGGUAAUGGCUUACCAAGGCUAUGACGCGUAACUGGUCUGAGAGGAUGAUCAGUCACAUUGGAACGGAGACACGGUCCAAACUCCUACGGGAGGGAGCAGUAAGGAAUAUGGCGAAAGGGGGGAAAUCCUGACGCAGCAACGCCGCGUGGAGGAUGACACUUUUCGGAGCGUAAACUCCUUUUAGCAGGAAAGCGGUACCUGAUGAAUAAGCACCGGCUAACUCCGUGCCAGCAGCCGCGGUAAUUC